UUAAGUUAUUAAGGGCGCACGGUGGAUGCCUUGGCACUAGAAGCCGAUGAAGGACGUUACUAACGACGAUAUGCUUUGGGGAGCUGUAAGUAAGCUUUGAUCCAGAGAUUUCCGAAUGGGGAAACCCAGCAUGAGUUAUGUCAUGUUAUCGAUAUGUGAAUACAUAGCAUAUCAGAAGGCACACCCGGAGAACUGAAACAUCUUAGUACCCGGAGGAAGAGAAAGAAAAUUCGAUUCCCUUAGUAGCGGCGAGCGAAACGGGAAGAGCCCAAACCAACAAGCUUGCUUGUUGGGGUUGUAGGACACUCUAUACGGAGUUACAAAGGACGACAUUAGACGAAUCAUCUGGAAAGAUGAAUCAAAGAAGGUAAUAAUCCUGUAGUCGAAAAUGUUGUCUCUCUUGAGUGGAUCCUGAGUACGACGGAGCACGUGAAAUUCCGUCGGAAUCUGGGAGGACCAUCUCCUAAGGCUAAACACUCUCUAGUGACCGAUAGUGAACCAGUACCGUGAGGGAAAGGUGAAAAGCACCCCGGAAGGGGAGUGAAAUAGAACCUGAAACCGUGUGCUUACAAGUAGUCAGAGCCCGUUAAUGGGUGAUGGCGUGCCUUUUGUAGAAUGAACCGGCGAGUUACGAUUUGAUGCAAGGUUAAGCAGUAAAUGUGGAGCCGUAGCGAAAGCGAGUCUGAAUAGGGCGUUUAGUAUUUGGUCGUAGACCCGAAACCAGGUGAUCUACCCUUGGUCAGGUUGAAGUUCAGGUAACACUGAAUGGAGGACCGAACCGACUUACGUUGAAAAGUGAGCGGAUGAACUGAGGGUAGCGGAGAAAUUCCAAUCGAACCUGGAGAUAGCUGGUUCUCUCCGAAAUAGCUUUAGGGCUAGCCUCAAGUGAUGAUUAUUGGAGGUAGAGCACUGUUUGGACGAGGGGCCCCUCUCGGGUUACCGAAUUCAGACAAACUCCGAAUGCCAAUUAAUUUAACUUGGGAGUCAGAACAUGGGUGAUAAGGUCCGUGUUCGAAAGGGAAACAGCCCAGACCACCAGCUAAGGUCCCAAAAUAUAUGUUAAGUGGAAAAGGAUGUGGCGUUGCCCAGACAACUAGGAUGUUGGCUUAGAAGCAGCCAUCAUUUAAAGAGUGCGUAAUAGCUCACUAGUCGAGUGACACUGCGCCGAAAAUGUACCGGGGCUAAACAUAUUACCGAAGCUGUGGAUUGUCCUUUGGACAAUGGUAGGAGAGCGUUCUAAGGGCGUUGAAGCAUGAUCGUAAGGACAUGUGGAGCGCUUAGAAGUGAGAAUGCCGGUGUGAGUAGCGAAAGACGGGUGAGAAUCCCGUCCACCGAUUGACUAAGGUUUCCAGAGGAAGGCUCGUCCGCUCUGGGUUAGUCGGGUCCUAAGCUGAGGCCGACAGGCGUAGGCGAUGGAUAACAGGUUGAUAUUCCUGUACCACCUAUAAUCGUUUUAAUCGAUGGGGGGACGCAGUAGGAUAGGCGAAGCGUGCGAUUGGAUUGCACGUCUAAGCAGUAAGGCUGAGUAUUAGGCAAAUCCGGUACUCGUUAAGGCUGAGCUGUGAUGGGGAGAAGACAUUGUGUCUUCGAGUCGUUGAUUUCACACUGCCGAGAAAAGCCUCUAGAUAGAAAAUAGGUGCCCGUACCGCAAACCGACACAGGUAGUCAAGAUGAGAAUUCUAAGGUGAGCGAGCGAACUCUCGUUAAGGAACUCGGCAAAAUGACCCCGUAACUUCGGGAGAAGGGGUGCUCUUUAGGGUUAACGCCCAGAAGAGCCGCAGUGAAUAGGCCCAAGCGACUGUUUAUCAAAAACACAGGUCUCUGCUAAACCGUAAGGUGAUGUAUAGGGGCUGACGCCUGCCCGGUGCUGGAAGGUUAAGAGGAGUGGUUAGCUUCUGCGAAGCUACGAAUCGAAGCCCCAGUAAACGGCGGCCGUAACUAUAACGGUCCUAAGGUAGCGAAAUUCCUUGUCGGGUAAGUUCCGACCCGCACGAAAGGCGUAACGAUUUGGGCACUGUCUCAACGAGAGACUCGGUGAAAUCAUAGUACCUGUGAAGAUGCAGGUUACCCGCGACAGGACGGAAAGACCCCGUGGAGCUUUACUGUAGCCUGAUAUUGAAAUUCGGCACAGCUUGUACAGGAUAGGUAGGAGCCUUUGAAACGUGAGCGCUAGCUUACGUGGAGGCGCUGGUGGGAUACUACCCUAGCUGUGUUGGCUUUCUAACCCGCACCACUUAUCGUGGUGGGAGACAGUGUCAGGCGGGCAGUUUGACUGGGGCGGUCGCCUCCUAAAAGGUAACGGAGGCGCUCAAAGGUUCCCUCAGAAUGGUUGGAAAUCAUUCAUAGAGUGUAAAGGCAUAAGGGAGCUUGACUGCGAGACCUACAAGUCGAGCAGGGUCGAAAGACGGACUUAGUGAUCCGGUGGUUCCGCAUGGAAGGGCCAUCGCUCAACGGAUAAAAGCUACCCCGGGGAUAACAGGCUUAUCUCCCCCAAGAGUUCACAUCGACGGGGAGGUUUGGCACCUCGAUGUCGGCUCAUCGCAUCCUGGGGCUGUAGUCGGUCCCAAGGGUUGGGCUGUUCGCCCAUUAAAGCGGUACGCGAGCUGGGUUCAGAACGUCGUGAGACAGUUCGGUCCCUAUCCGUCGUGGGCGUAGGAAAUUUGAGAGGAGCUGUCCUUAGUACGAGAGGACCGGGAUGGACAUACCUCUGGUGUACCAGUUGUCGUGCCAACGGCAUAGCUGGGUAGCUAUGUGUGGACGGGAUAAGUGCUGAAAGCAUCUAAGCAUGAAGCCCCCCUCAAGAUGAGAUUUCCCAACUUCGGUUAUAAGAUCCCUCAAAGAUGAUGAGGUUAAUAGGUUCGAGGUGGAAGCAUGGUGACAUGUGGAGCUGACGAAUACUAAUCGAUCGAAGACUUAAUCAA
RNAcentral lists this ribosomal RNA (2921 nucleotides) under Staphylococcus aureus F84732. RNAcentral's name for it is "bacterial LSU rRNA". It matches the Rfam family "Bacterial large subunit ribosomal RNA". The record is from RNAcentral. Lineage: Bacteria; Bacillati; Bacillota; Bacilli; Caryophanales; Staphylococcaceae.